This 481-nucleotide ribosomal RNA is filed under the name uncultured bacterium. Its description in RNAcentral is "partial 16S ribosomal RNA". It matches the Rfam family "Bacterial small subunit ribosomal RNA", at positions 28 to 507 of the family's 1533-position model. The record is from RNAcentral.
GAUGAACGCUGGCGGCGUGCUUAACACAUGCAAGUCGAACGAAGCACUUUAUUUGAUUUCCUUCGGGACUGAUUAUUUUGUGACUGAGUGGCGGACGGGUGAGUAACGCGUGGGUAACCUGCCUUGUACAGGGGGAUAACAGUUGGAAACGGCUGCUAAUACCGCAUAAGCGCACGGCAUCGCAUGAUGCAGUGUGAAAAACUCCGGUGGUAUAAGAUGGACCCGCGUUGGAUUAGCUAGUUGGUGAGGUAACGGCCCACCAAGGCGACGAUCCAUAGCCGACCUGAGAGGAUGACCGGCCACAUUGGGACUGAGACACGGCCCAAACUCCUACGGGAGGCAGCAGUGGGGAAUAUUGCACAAUGGGCGAAAGCCUGAUGCAGCGACGCCGCGUGAGCGAAGAAGUAUUUCGGUAUGUAAAGCUCUAUCAGCAGGGAAGAUAAUGACGGUACCUGACUAAGAAGCACCGGCUAAAUACGUG